Molecule: ribosomal RNA, 254 nt
Filed under: uncultured bacterium
Lineage: Bacteria
Description: partial 16S ribosomal RNA
Rfam family: Bacterial small subunit ribosomal RNA
Source: RNAcentral
GACGAACCGUGCGAACGUUAUUCGGAAUCACUGGGCUUAAAGCGCGUGUAGGCGGAUGGGGACGUCGGUCGCUGAAAUCCCCCGGCUCAACCGGGGAAGUGGCACCGAAACGCCCCGUCUGGAGGGACGUAGGGGGACCUGGAACUUCCGGUGGAGCGGUGAAAUGCGUUGAGAUCGGAAGGAACGCCCGUGGCGAAAGCGAGGUCCUGGACGUCUUCUGACGCUGAGACGCGAAAGCUAGGGGAGCGAACGCG